Molecule: long non-coding RNA, 1508 nt
Organism: Alligator sinensis (Chinese alligator)
Lineage: Eukaryota; Metazoa; Chordata; Crocodylia; Alligatoridae
Exons: 2
Source: RefSeq, a predicted model, not a curated record
UUGUUGCUCGCUUCCCCCUCACUGGCUGCGUGAUUGAGUUUCCGACACAGCCGGCGUAUAUGUAAAUCAUUGGGGGGGCACGUUAAAUGAUGAAAUUGGAGCAUUUGCCCUCAAAUUUGACAAAAUUUUAUCCCCUUAAGCAUGGCACCUUUCAUUAGUGAGGCCUCUCCAGAGUUUGCCAACGUCCUUUUAACACCCCAGCCUUGCUGGGGGAGAGAGCGGGGUGGGGGACGGGGGGUUGUAUCAAUCCGUGGGUGUCCAAAUUGUGACUGAGAUCAGGUAACGAGCGUGGAUGUGUUUGUCUUGUGGAAUCGCUGAAUGUUCCUGGUGCACCUGGCAGCGGUUUUCAUCCUCCAUUGAACUGGGUAGCAUCUUCUGCUGGGGCUGGGUCAAGAACCAGUGGUAGGGAUCUGUUGGGAGCAGACACAUGAGGCUGUUGACCCUGGCCAUGAAUCUGUUUCCAUGGGGAAAAGUUUUAAGCAACCGGGUGAUUAAUGAAAACGGGUGUUUUCAUACCGCAGCUCUUCUGCUUGGGACGGGGGAAUAACCACAGAUGGAGCUAAUGCCCUCAACUGGCUGCCAGUCUAGCCGUUCUCUCUCACUGAGGGGAAUGGAGGGCUUGUUUUCUUGCUGUGAUGGCCCUAAAUUAGAAUUUGAUACGUCUCCUAUAACUAUUCACUGUUUCGAUAUGUUCAGUGCGUCUGUGUGGAAGCUGUUGUGCAGCAGGGAGCCGGGUUGUAUCAAGUCCUACUCUUGAAAUAGCCAUAGAGGCGGGCGGGAGGUGUCAUUUCACAGAAUCGUACCAAACCUUAUUUAUAACCUUUUGUAUCAAAACUAUUCUCCAGGCUAAAAGAAUUAGCAGACACCAGUGAGCUGAACAGCCCAGAGCCCUAGCUCAGGGGCCCUUAAUGAACUGAAAUGGGCUCGCUUUAAAAACCCGGUGGUUUUAUCUGCUGGAGGUUGAGAUAUGUCUCCAUUUUCCUUUGUCCCUGUAGGGCCUCUCUCCCCUGAUCAGUUCAAGUGACCUAAAAUUGGUUUAAUCCUUUAUUCUAAUUUUUUUAAGGUUUAACGAGUAUUCACUAGGUGACCCAUUAAAAAGAACAACAAAAAACAACCCCACAUCGGUUUAGCUCACAGGUUGAUGGCCUGACGCAUACGCAACCAGGCAAAGAUCCAGCCUUCGAUAUUAUGUUUAUAAAGGUUUGAAUGAAUUGGCUUAGAUGGCAGGGAUGGAAAAGUAAGUAGUUCUAGGUUAACUCUUAAGUGAGGAGCGUGUGUCGACGGCUGACUGUGGUUGUGCGGCGUGAUUAAAGAAACUUCACCUCCUUUUCUUUACAGCAAUAAUCCCUAGAUGCAGCGUUACUUUUAUGCUUGUAGGUAUUAUUCUUUUUUAUAUAGCUUGCUUUUUAACUUCCGUGUUUUCCCCCAAAUAAAGGCUUUUUUUAUUUUAUUUUUUUUAAAUAACCUAAUGGAUUCUCCGUAAUAAAAAGGCCAUGUAUUUCAACCUG